RNAcentral lists this ribosomal RNA (498 nucleotides) under uncultured bacterium. RNAcentral describes it as "partial 16S ribosomal RNA". It matches the Rfam family "Bacterial small subunit ribosomal RNA", at positions 28 to 506 of the family's 1533-position model. The record is from RNAcentral.
GACGAACGCUGGCGGCGUGCCUAAUACAUGCAAGUCGAGCGAAUCUGAUGGGAGCUUGCUCCUUGAUGAUUAGCGGCGGACGGGUGAGUAACACGUGGGUAACCUGCCUGUAAGACUGGGAUAACUCCGGGAAACCGGGGCUAAUACCGGAUAACUUUUUUCUUCGCAUGAGGGAGAAUUGAAAGAUGGCUUCGGCUAUCACUUACAGAUGGACCCGCGGCGCAUUAGCUAGUUGGUGAGGUAACGGCUCACCAAGGCGACGAUGCGUAGCCGACUUGAGAGGGUGAGCGGCCACACUGGAACGGAGACACGGCCCAGACUCCUCCGGGGGGCAGCAGUAGGGAAUCUUCCGCAAUGGGCGAAAGUUUGACGGAGCAACGCCGCGUGAGUGAUGAAGGUUUUCGGAUCGUAAAACUCUGUUUUUAGGGAAGAACAAGUUUCGUUCGAAUAGGGCGGUCCCUUGACGGUACCAAACCAGAAGGCCCCGGCUACCCCCGU